RNAcentral lists this ribosomal RNA (251 nucleotides) under uncultured soil bacterium. Its description in RNAcentral is "partial 16S ribosomal RNA". It matches the Rfam family "Bacterial small subunit ribosomal RNA", at positions 26 to 288 of the family's 1533-position model. The record is from RNAcentral.
AGGACGAACGCUGGCGGCGUGCUUAACACAUGCAAGUCACGGGGGUCCCGCAAGGGAUAACCGGCGAACGGGUGCGUAACACGUGAGCGACCUGCCUCUUCGCGGGGGAUAGCCGGCCCAACGGCCGGGUAAUACCGCAUACGUUCAGUUUGGGGCAUCCCGAACUGAGGAAACCUCCGGGGCGGAGAGAGGGGCUCGCGGCCUAUCAGCUAGUUGGCGGGUAAUGGCCCACAAGGCAGCGACGGGUAGCU